UUUUGUGGUCGGCGGGAGCUUCCUCGCUUGUGCCUUGUUGACCCGCUGCGCACUGCUCUCUUGAAUUUUGUUCGGGGCACGGUGGGCGUGGGCAAGUCGAGGCCUGGCGUGGCUGCGGCCGUGUCGGCACGUGAGUGGUGUUGGAUAUGCAUGUCCCGACGGGUUCCCUGCCAUUGCGCAGCCAACCGUUUGAGCUGCUUUCCCUUCAUUCGACUGCGUCGGUGGCCCCGUUGUCUCGGCGGUUUGGCCCGUUGUCUGUGCACCGAACCUGACUUGCUUUUCGGAACCCCAAGUUGCUUAUGUGCUCGCAUUGCGCUCCUCUUGCCCUCCGGGCGAAGGGGAUGCACGCUUAGGCCUUCCURGUCGGCCCUCGAAUGGUGGCCUGCCAAAGCUGCCUGUGUCGAUCGGCCGUUGAGGACGCGCUAGAGCUUUUGGAUGUUGUGGAUGAAGAGGGCGCGGGGCUUGGUCCCCCUACCCCUUCUCGGUUGCGAUUCGGCAUUCUUUGUCGCUCUCGGAUGGCUGACGGUUUUGCUUGUGGAAGGCGCCCCUGUUGCCUCGACCCCGUGUUGGGGUGCGGUCUCGGGAGGCGGCCCGCAGUGCGGACGUCGCUUAGGAUGUGUUACCUGGUUGAUCCUGCCAGUAGUCAUAUGCUUGUCUC
RNAcentral lists this unclassified non-coding RNA (658 nucleotides) under Milla bryani. RNAcentral describes it as "partial external transcribed spacer". Lineage: Eukaryota; Viridiplantae; Streptophyta; Magnoliopsida; Asparagales; Asparagaceae. The record is from RNAcentral.